CGCUUCGUGGUAUUUCGCGUAUUGUAAUUUCAACACGAGCGGGGUCAAAUCCUUUGCAGACGACUUAGCUGUGCGAAACGGUCCUGUAAGCAGUAGAGUAGCCUUGUUGUUACGAUCUGCUGAGGGUAAGCCGUCCUUCGCCUCGAUUU
RNAcentral lists this ribosomal RNA (149 nucleotides) under Fusarium odoratissimum. RNAcentral describes it as "partial 28S large subunit ribosomal RNA". It matches the Rfam family "Eukaryotic large subunit ribosomal RNA", at positions 3252 to 3399 of the family's 3401-position model. The record is from RNAcentral. Lineage: Eukaryota; Fungi; Ascomycota; Sordariomycetes; Hypocreales; Nectriaceae.